Molecule: ribosomal RNA, 2200 nt
Filed under: Campylobacter coli
Lineage: Bacteria; Pseudomonadati; Campylobacterota; Epsilonproteobacteria; Campylobacterales; Campylobacteraceae
Description: partial 23S ribosomal RNA
Rfam family: Bacterial large subunit ribosomal RNA
Source: RNAcentral
AAAAAAGGUAAGCUACUAAGAGCGAAUGGUGGAUGCCUUGACUGGUAAAGGCGAUGAAGGACGUACUAGACUGCGAUAAGCUACGGGGAGCUGUCAAGAAGCUUUGAUCCGUAGAUUUCCGAAUGGGGCAACCCAAUGUAUAGAGAUAUACAUUACCUAUAUAGGAGCGAACGAGGGGAAUUGAAACAUCUUAGUACCCUCAGGAAAAGAAAUCAAUAGAGAUUGCGUCAGUAGCGGCGAGCGAAAGCGCAAGAGGGCAAACCCAGUGCUUGCACUGGGGGUUGUAGGACUGCAAUGUGCAAGAGGUGAGUUUAGCAGAACAUUCUGGAAAGUAUAGCCAUAGAGGGUGAUAGUCCCGUAUGCGAAAAACAAACCUUAGCUAGCAGUAUCCUGAGUAGGGCGGGACACGAGAAAUCCUGUCUGAAGCUGGGUCGACCACGAUCCAACCCUAAAUACUAAUACCAGAUCGAUAGUGCACAAGUACCGUGAGGGAAAGGUGAAAAGAACUGAGGUGAUCAGAGUGAAAUAGAACCUGAAACCAUUUGCUUACAAUCAUUCAGAGCCCUAUGUAGCAAUACAGGGUGAUGGACUGCCUUUUGCAUAAUGAGCCUGCGAGUUGUGGUGUCUGGCAAGGUUAAGCAAACGCGAAGCCGUAGCGAAAGCGAGUCUGAAUAGGGCGCUUAGUCAGAUGCUGCAGACCCGAAACGAAGUGAUCUAUCCAUGAGCAAGUUGAAGCUAGUGUAAGAACUAGUGGAGGACUGAACCCAUAGGCGUUGAAAAGCCCCGGGAUGACUUGUGGAUAGGGGUGAAAGGCCAAUCAAACUUCGUGAUAGCUGGUUCUCUCCGAAAUAUAUUUAGGUAUAGCGUUGUGUCGUAAUAUAAGGGGGUAGAGCACUGAAUGGGCUAGGGCAUACACCAAUGUACCAAACCCUAUCAAACUCCGAAUACCUUAUAUGUAAUCACAGCAGUCAGGCGGCGAGUGAUAAAAUCCGUCGUCAAGAGGGAAACAACCCAGACUACCAGCUAAGGUCCCUAAAUCUUACUUAAGUGGAAAACGAUGUGAAGUUACUUAAACAACCAGGAGGUUGGCUUAGAAGCAGCCAUCCUUUAAAGAAAGCGUAAUAGCUCACUGGUCUAGUGAUUUUGCGCGGAAAAUAUAACGGGGCUAAAGUAAGUACCGAAGCUGUAGACUUGCGCACAACUUAGAUUAUUUAAGUUUAGAAUAUGAGAAACUAAGUUAUAUGUUUAGUUAUAUUUUUACUGAUUUUUAUAGAGUAAAGAUAGAAAUAAAACUUAGUAAAAUCAGUAAAAAUAUUCUUAGACUAAAGUUAAGUAGUUUAAGUUGUGUGCAAGUGGUAGGAGAGCGUUCUAUUUGCGUCGAAGGUAUACCGGUAAGGAGUGCUGGAGCGAAUAGAAGUGAGCAUGCAGGCAUGAGUAGCGAUAAUUAAUGUGAGAAUCAUUAACGCCGUAAACCCAAGGUUUCCUACGCGAUGCUCGUCAUCGUAGGGUUAGUCGGGUCCUAAGUCGAGUCCGAAAGGGGUAGACGAUGGCAAAUUGGUUAAUAUUCCAAUACCAACAUUAGUGUGCGAUGGAAGGACGCUUAGGGCUAAGGGGGCUAGCGGAUGGAAGUGCUAGUCUAAGGUCGUAGGAGGUUAUACAGGCAAAUCCGUAUAACAAUACUCCGAGAACUGAAAGGCUUUUUGAAGUCUUCGGAUGGAUAGAAGAACCCCUGAUGCCAUCGAGCCAAGAAAAGUUUCUAAGUUUAGCUAAUGUUGCCCGUACCGUAAACCGACACAGGUGGGUGGGAUGAGUAUUCUAAGGCGCGUGGAAGAACUCUCUUUAAGGAACUCUGCAAAAUAGCACCGUAUCUUCGGUAUAAGGUGUGGUUAGCUUUGUAUUAGGAUUUACUCCGAAAGCAAGGAAACUUACAACAAAGAGUCCCUCCCGACUGUUUACCAAAAACACAGCACUCUGCUAACUCGUAAGAGGAUGUAUAGGGUGUGACGCCUGCCCGGUGCUCGAAGGUUAAUUGAUGGGGUUAGCAUUAGCGAAGCUCUUGAUCGAAGCCCGAGUAAACGGCGGCCGUAACUAUAACGGUCCUAAGGUAGCGAAAUUCCUUGUCGGUUAAAUACCGACCUGCAUGAAUGGCGUAACGAGAUGGGAGCUGUCUCAAAGAGGGAUCCAGUGAAAUUGUAGUGGA